RNAcentral lists this ribosomal RNA (253 nucleotides) under uncultured prokaryote. RNAcentral's name for it is "partial 16S ribosomal RNA". It matches the Rfam family "Bacterial small subunit ribosomal RNA", at positions 525 to 777 of the family's 1533-position model. The record is from RNAcentral.
ACGUAGGGUGCGAGCGUUAAUCGGAAUUACUGGGCGUAAAGGGUGCGCAGGUGGUUUUGUAAGUCAGAUGUGAAAUCCCCGGGCUUAACCUGGGAAUUGCGUUUGAAACUACAAGACUAGAGUGUGGCAGAGGGGGGUGGAAUUCCAUGUGUAGCAGUGAAAUGCGUAGAGAUAUGGAAGAACAUCGAUGGCGAAGGCAGCCCCCUGGGUUAACACUGACACUCAGGCACGAAAGCGUGGGGAGCAAACAGGA